GUUGAUAAUUUGUCUACAUCAAAAUAAAGAUUCUCUAACUUCCAUGUGUGCAGGAACCACAUGGAGCGCAUCUUAAAAACACAGAUUCCUAGAGAUUCUAAUAUAGCAGGUAAAUUGUAUAAAUUUACAAUGAAAUUAUCUCUAAAAAGUAAAUAUAUACUCAAAAUGCAUCAUAUUCUAAUUAUUUUGCUACAUUUUACUAUCAUGUAUGUUCUUGAGGUUAUUUUUGCCUAUUGUACGCGUAUUUAGGUAAUAAUAUAUAAUGCUGUGCUACUGUGCAUCUCUCCCAACUCAUGUUGGUAUUUUGAAAUCAGCCGUGGUAGGAGUAUUUACACCAGGGAAAUUGACAAAGGCUACAGAUCAACACCCCUCAUCCUCUUUUUUGGAGAAGUAGUUGUUACAUGUAUAACAGCACAUCACUGAAUAUGGUCCUUAUAGAAAUCAGGAGUGGUAGCGGCAGUGAGGAAAAUCAAAGCAUGAGCUAUCAUCUAAAGGGCAGAGAAAACCUUGUACAUUCAUCGCCAGAGCAGUAGUGUGGGCAGGGUACAGCAAGGGCGGAGGUGUGGCAACUUGACCCAAUCUUUUUGCACCCAUAUGCUCUCCACAUUUCUUCCAAAUCUUGCCUGGAUAGUUGCAGCCAAAAGCAGAAGUGAUGGGAAGCAACUUUGGGGAAGGUUCCCAAUUCUAUGCUGAACUGGUUAAAGAGAUGAGAUUAGUCAAUGGUGCCAUCUAGUGUCAAAAAGUGGAUUGGCUUUAAAGAGGAAUGCUUAGAAAAAGAUUUCUCUUGAUUUAGGCGCUAGAAGCAUAUUAACUUCCGUAGUUUCCUCUUCCUUUCUUUUCCUCUAUUUUCUUUCCCUAAUUCCAUUUCCUUACUUUCUGAGUCAUUUUCUACCUACUCCCCCAACAAGAAUAGCCAUGAAUUUUUUUGGAAAGUUCCAAACUCUGUUGCUCCCAGGCAAAAAUAGAUAAUGCCAAGAGUUGAAUGGCAUAGAGAUUUGCAAAUCAGUACUUGCCUAUAUUAUAUAUAAUAACUUGGAGUGAAUUUGUUUAGGGAAGCUGUAGAGGUCUUCUCUUGUGGGUCACAUAAAUCAAAUGAUUCUCUGCCUUUGCAACAUGCCCCAUGUCCUUCCCAUUUCCUGAGACAGGGGCAGAUGUAGUUUUGUUAGUGUGUUGUAGUGUAACAAAUAACCCUAAUUCAUUCUCAAGUCUUAUUUCUGCCUUCUAGGUAUUUUUGUAGGAAAAUGGUAGAAGAGGCCUAUUCAUAACUUCCCAGUGAAUGGGAUAUUUCAUUCUUUUUGAGGACCUGUGUGGUCUUUGAUUUGAAGUGAAAGUUUAAUUAUAUAUGGUUGAGUUCUCAUACCAGGAGGGUCCUCCAGAAAUUAAAGUUAAGACUCUCGGGUUAAUAAUUCCUGCUGGAAAGGCUUACUUUACAUCUUGCACAUUCGUGAAGUAACAUGGUAGCCCCUCAAUCAAGAGUACUUCCCUUUGUCCCUUUUGUGAUUGAUGAUCUGAGCAAAAUUAAAAAACAUUGAACGUGGCCCAAAGCUGUUGUUCCACUCUGAUAGUUUCUGUCUUUUCAUUAAGGAUAACUAACCUGUAAGUUCAGGGAUAUUCCAGAUGUUAGUUAUCAGACAGGAAACCAGUAGGGAAUAAAUACCAUCCUCUCUGUAAUGUGUGUAGCAGGAGCAGCCUGAACUCUGUAACAAGUUGUUCUGAAAUGUUUGGAAAUGAAAGCGAAAGUAACAACUAUGGAUAUGAGAUGCGGACUUGGGAUCAGACUUUUUCCAGGAUAACUUUUUCAAUAUUUUAAAAAACAACAAAAGUAGUUUAGAAAUCUCAUCUUGAGACUGCCAGGCUAUACAAACACAUGGCUUUAUUUUAGGUGAGGGCAAUGGGU
Long non-coding RNA from Equus caballus (horse), 1897 nucleotides. NCBI's taxonomy places the organism in Eukaryota, Metazoa, Chordata, Mammalia, Perissodactyla, Equidae. The record is from Ensembl.